UGGUGACUCCUCCGGGGGGGGAGAAAAAAACGUCGUUGACCAGACUGCCGAUGGGGAGGAUGGACUGGUGGUGCCUUCCAGGGCUCCCAGAAAUACCGCUAUUUACGUGGUCAGCGCACGUGGACGAGCCCAGCAAAAAUUUUCAGAUCCCACACCUGUUUGUAUACAGGACUUGUAUUACGUGAUCUUGCUGGAAUUGAGGAGCCGAACAGCUGAAAAUAUUUACCUAACAAAAGGAGGUAUUUACAAGGAGCACCUGAAGGCAGCCUCAAACCACUUGGGAACCACAAAGUCAACAAAAUGAACAUGGGGCUGGCCUGCAGGUCAGAGAAGUGACAACAUAAACUAAAUGCUUGAAACAUGUAUGAGUUGUUAGCUACAUGGAAAUGCAUGCAACUUCUGGAUUGAAAAAAA
Molecule: long non-coding RNA, 414 nt
Organism: Xiphias gladius (swordfish)
Lineage: Eukaryota; Metazoa; Chordata; Actinopteri; Istiophoriformes; Xiphiidae
Exons: 3
Source: RefSeq, a predicted model, not a curated record